This 253-nucleotide ribosomal RNA is filed under the name uncultured bacterium. Its description in RNAcentral is "partial 16S ribosomal RNA". It matches the Rfam family "Bacterial small subunit ribosomal RNA", at positions 524 to 776 of the family's 1533-position model. The record is from RNAcentral.
GACAGAGGGUGCAAACGUUGUUCGGAAUUACUGGGCGUAAAGCGCGUGUAGGCGGCUAAGUAAGUCGGGCGUGAAAUCCCACGGCUCAACCGUGGAAGUGCACUCGAAACUGCAUAGCUAGAGUCCUGGAGAGGAAGGUGGAAUGCUUGGUGUAGAGGUGAAAUUCGUAGAUAUUCGCAAGAACACCAGUGGCGAAGGCGGCUCGCUGGCCCGAUACUGACGCUGAGGCACGAAAGCGUGGGGAGCAAACAGG